Phascolarctos cinereus (koala) is the source of this 249-nucleotide non-coding RNA. NCBI's taxonomy places the organism in Eukaryota, Metazoa, Chordata, Mammalia, Diprotodontia, Phascolarctidae. The record is from RefSeq and is a predicted model, not a curated record.
GAGAUCCAGAGGAGACAGCAUAAAAGGACAAAACCAGCAUUGAGGAAGCAUCUGCUAUCUGGCUGUGGAGAUAUCAACUCACCCCUCUACUUCUCAGCAAGGAGGACCUUGGGAGUGAGAGUGACAGUAGCAGCAGCAGAAGCAGCAACAGUGACAGGGAGACUGAACAGGUUGUACAGAGUGAAAGGGUGAUUACAAAGAAAAGGAAGAGAUGCAGUUAGCCCUGAAGGAUUCGGUUGGCUCUCAUGG